ACUGAUAUGAUAUGGAAAUACCAGCUCAGAAGAUGUGGUGAGCUUUGAUAAUUCAGGAGUUGACUGACAGAAGGAGGACCUCAUUUGGGCAGAACUUCACAAACCCUAAGGAUUCAUCUCUGGACAAUGAGCAAAAUCUUCACUGGCUUCACUUUAGCUCAGCACCUAAUGCAGUGUUUGGUUCUGAAAAGCCUCCUUUGUGUGUGAGGAACUGUUCUGAAAUCUCCCGACAAGAAAAAUGGCUCCCAAAACCCAGCUGUGUCUCUGGGUGCGUAUGCCCAGCAGCAGGCAGUGUGUCAUCGCUGUGUCAGUUCUAUGGUGUGAUGUGCGGAACUGGUACUGGUAUGUAGACAUCAAGGCUAGUUCUUCGGCUCUCCCAAAGGCCAAAGAUAUGUAUUUAAAUAUCAUUUAAAUAAACCCCCUUAUUGCUUAAAUCACC
This 439-nucleotide long non-coding RNA is filed under the name Pongo abelii (Sumatran orangutan). RNAcentral describes it as "lincRNA". Lineage: Eukaryota; Metazoa; Chordata; Mammalia; Primates; Hominidae. The record is from RNAcentral.